Drosophila yakuba is the source of this 4243-nucleotide long non-coding RNA. RefSeq lists it as uncharacterized. The record is from RefSeq and is a predicted model, not a curated record. The transcript is spliced from 3 exons. NCBI's taxonomy places the organism in Eukaryota, Metazoa, Arthropoda, Insecta, Diptera, Drosophilidae.
GGCGCUGGUCGGGACUCUUAAAGUAUUAUGCAAUAAGUUAGCUUUUCCAAUAUGAGCAGCGAAGUGCCAACGGCAUAUGGCAGUUGGCAAUUGGCAAACCCUGCCUGUUGCUCGUCUUCUGCGUCAAAGAUGCAGCAUAUUUAUUUUGGCCAGGCUUUCACUUCGUUUUUUUUACAUUUCGGGUUGAGUCAAAGCGUUCGCUGACGCAAGACUCUAGCUUAGUCCCCCAAAGACACAUGAAAAACCUGAUUAAACUUGUAAAACAAGCCCGUGGUAAAUGUUUUUAAAUCAGUAAUGUUAGUCCAAAACUGUGCUGUAAUUUUAAAAAUUACCUUAGCUCUUACUUAUUAGUACACAACUCACAAUUUGUAUUUAAAAGCCGACUCUCAAACCAAAAUUGAACGCGCAGUUUUUGCGAGUGUGUUCGCCUCCAGACUUCCCUGCAUAAGUGAUUGCCGGCAACGUGGCGUAUGUGUAAUUUGUCGUUGCUAGUGCACAGCUGCUAUCAACUUUGUUACACUGCGCACGGAGACAGGGCAAACUGCAUUAAAUGCACAUUUGUUACGCAGCCCAAAUUCUCGGAAGGCUCCUUGUGUCUAUCAGGAUGUAUUUGCCUGUGUCGCAGGGAACACCUGGACCGAAGGAGGUUCUCUGCCGCAUUUCCCCAAAAUUCUUUACUCGUCUCCGCUUUGUAAAUUGGCAAUUUAUUUCACUGCCUGCAACGUCAAUGGUCUAAACAUGUUGUGGCAAAUUCCUCCUUUUAUCGAGUGCAGCACAAAGCGACAGUUUUACACAUGACGAGGCAGCUGUGAAAGACGAUCAACUGGAGCAUAUUUGCGAGCAAACUAAUUUGAAUUUUCGCUUGACGCUCUAUUUUAAUUUAAGUUUAUUUGCUGGCCGGCUGGCCAAUUCAAUUUGAUUGAUUUGUGAGAUAAGGAAAGGUCCAUUUAUUGGCCAUUAAAGCAGCAUAAUUGAUUUUGUGCACUUUUUUCAGUUGAUUGUAUGGACAGGUGAUCCCCAAUUUUCUAUUCAGCAAAAACAUGUAGUUUUCCAAAUAUAAAUUUUCACUCCCAGUUCAGUGUGUAAAAAAGUGCUCAAUUCGAAACCUAAAGAGAACCAUUUUAGGUAACCAACUACUAAUAAUGGAACAAGCAAGUCUUUAACAACUAACUUAUAUGAUCAGAUGUGGCUAAAAUAUGGUAAAAAUUGUUAGCGAAACAUAAACAUUUAGGCAGCUGGAGUCGACACAAGAGAAUGCGUAUUCAUUUGGGAGCCGGAAGCGCGGUCAAAGCAUUUUUCCGGUGCAGGAAAAUAGCUGCCCGCUAUUCCAUUCCUUCUAUCCCAUCUACUCCAUCCUGUAGCCGCGGGCCCACCUCAUUAUCCGCACGUACAGAGCGAGGGAUGUACGGGCAUAAUGUGCAUGCAUUAGUCAUAUAUCUGAAACAGGCAUCGCUCGAUAUGGAUGUGUGUGGAUGCGGACGAGGAUGCUUGGGGCGUCGAAAGCGGGUAUAAUGGGGAUUCUCACGCGUUGGAACAAUAACCUAAAAACGCGAGUCUAAUUAGGAGAUCCACACACUCUGCAAAUUUGCAUUCUCACAAUCUUGCAGCCUGCGGCUGAUUUGGAUAGGACAUAGAACAAAAGCUAUACUCGUAUGUAUAUGCAAAACACAAGCGGAAGCUGCCAGGAGUAACAUUUUCGUUAACGAUGGACUUGGAUGUAUAUAUUUAAUGUACAACACUUUAAAUGGCUUAUAAACGAGUUGAUCGAAGUUGUCUGGAGAAGUUUUGAUGACUAAUGUGGUAGAGAAAGUAAGUUAAGUGUAUUUGUUUUAGAAGAAACCUUGAAUACUUAUAUUUAAAAAAUCUGUUAAGGGUUUGAAAAAGAAGCAAGAUAAGAAACUAAGCAAAACAAAGAAUAAGUAAGCUGCUAGCCUGGCCAAAACAGAUUUCGGCCGCGUUGACAAUAAUUCAGAGCAUCGCGAAACAGUUGCUAAACUUCGAAAGCUCAACGCAACUUGUCUCGUAAUUUUUAUUAAUUUUACACCAUUGGAGGCUGAAAAGUUUAUACAUUAAUUUUGGUUCUUCCGGAGUCUUUUUUCUCAUUUUUUUCCUCACCAGGCUUAGCGGCUGCUUACAAGCGCUUUGGCUUGUCCUUUGGGGAGGAUUCUCGAGCGGACUUUGCAGGACUGGGGAUGGAGGAAGAAAUUAUAAUAUAAAACUUGGAACUUUUUUGUUGCAGAAGACACAUAAAAAUUGUUUUUGUACUUUUGUGCUCUACUUAAGCGGAUGUGGCGGCCUGGGGUCCAUUGUGGAUAUCCGUUUUAAUUAGUCGACGGGCACCGGAAUCUCAAUCCGAAUCUGAGUCUGACUCUGAAUCCGAAUGCGAAUCUGCAUUGCAGACAAUGCCUCAGGAAGCGAAGGCAAAAGUUACCCUUGCCAUAACUGUGAAAUGUGCGUUGACAAAAAAAGUUAAGCAAGAGCGAGUUGCGGUGCAAGGAGUCUUGGGAAAGGACCUUGGCUUUUCUUCUGCUUACAUGAAAUUCAUUCAGUACGACAACUACGCCGAACUCCAAUCAAAUGAAUAAAUUUGCAAAUAUAAAUAAAGGACAUGGCGCUGGGUUGAAUAAAUGGAGAGAUGAACUUUUUUAAAUUGCGUUAAAUGUUGAUCCAUGGAAAACGAAUUGACGGCCCAGUCAACGGGCAGAAAAUAUUUAACGCCAUUUUUAUUUAUGACAUAAAUACGGCCCAAACAUAUUUCAUGGUCCGCCCGAGCGCGAACAAACUGAUAGAUACAAUGCAUUUUCGAGUGCUCCCCGUGCGAUUGGCUCUUUCUUUUGUUCCCACGCCUGCAAUCAGGCCUCCCUGGGGGCGGGCUCCUGGUGGGGGCGUGGCAGGACGAGCGGAAUGCAUUUGAUGGUCGCCUGUCAAUGCCAAACAACAAAAGUGCGGAGGAAAGGCGAUUGAGGUGGCUGGAAGCCAAAAGAAAAAUGUUGAAAAAUGUGCACGGCUUCGAUGGCUGAGCAAAAACGGGCAGAUAAAUUUAUAUGCAACCUCACACACACACACACACACACAGUGGCGUACAAAGGCAAUGCGUAUGUAUAUAUAUACUAUACAAGCAGAUACACCUACAAGCAUAAGCCCACAUAAAGCACUCAGGGAGCAGAACGGGCCUGCAUUUAACAAUUUAUCUGCAGCUGUCAAAAUUAAAACCCCAUACGGCUCCACAGCUGGGCGAGCUUCAAAGCCAUAACCAUUGCGAUGGACAUGGCUGUGCGGGGGGGCUUGUGAGAGGGGUGCCGGUGCGGCGAACCACGACGAGUCAAUACCCGUGGCAAUCCGUGGCCAGCACUCGUCCAGGACACAUGGGUCACUCGAAGAAAUGAAUGUGAUUUUGGGAGAAAUUAAUAGUCAAGGCUAAAAACAUAUUCGCCAACAUGACAGCGGUUGAGUGUUUGACUAAACUCUAAAACUCUAAUAAAAUAUUUCAGAACUUGCGAACCACUGUUUAUAGCGUGAAAUAAAACGUUUAAAAAAUGUAGUAACACUCUUAGGUGCUAAGAAUUUACAUAGCUUAAUAAGGUAUUUCCGGCCGAACACAAUGGCAUUACUUCCGAUUUUUCAAGUGCACUCAAAAGUCAGCUGCAGGCGGCAUUGGAUUUGAAAAAAGAGAUGGGAACAUCGCAGAGCAGAAAAAGAAAAAGAAAGGCGCGGCGGCAAGAAAAGCGCAGCUCAGCCCAAGGGGGUCACACAAUAAUGCCGGUCACAGGAUAAGCAACCAGGAGCAGGAGCAGGAGUACCAACACACAGAGCCAGCCACACAGACGCUUACACCCGCAAACACACACAGCCACACCAAAUACAGACAGACAGACAGACAGUCAAUAGCAAUGGCGUGGACUGAAGCUGACUGUAAAAAACGGAAAUGGGGCAAUCAUAAAUUUACACAGAUAUGCAAGUGCCUCGGCCCCGGUUUGUGUGUGUCGCUGUGUGAGUUACUGUCUCCACCCACCGCCCACCACCCACUCAACCUGAUUUCCAGCCAACUUCACCCACCAACUUCAAGCAACUACAAACAAACAGAAUCGAGCAGCGAAACAACAACCACAGCAAAGGAAAGUACCGGGUGGUCCUUCAAUUGUCGAUGAAGAGCACCCUAGCCAAAAAAGGAAAAAUACAAAAAAAUAAUGGGUUUAUUUUAAAAGACUCAAAAUUGCGUUAAAAUGUUGAUAAUGUUAUUUAA